RNAcentral lists this ribosomal RNA (819 nucleotides) under Triticum aestivum (bread wheat). RNAcentral describes it as "partial small subunit ribosomal RNA". Lineage: Eukaryota; Viridiplantae; Streptophyta; Magnoliopsida; Poales; Poaceae. The record is from RNAcentral.
AUGAAGUUCAAUAGAGGUCGCCGCCACAGCCGUGAUUCGAAGAAAGAAGCUUGUUAUGGGGAGGAAAGGCUAAGCGAGCUGCCAAGUGAUGUUGUGGUCAAAGUCCUUGAGACGGUGAAAACACAGUCGAAGAAAGCAGCUGGUCAUGGGGAGGAAAGGCUACGCAAGCUGCCCAAUGAUGUGCUGGUCAACAACAUCCUGGAGACAGUGGAAACACAGUCUACCAAAACAGCUGGUAAUGCGGAGGACAGGCUAAGCAAGCUGCCCAAUGAUUUGCUGCUCAACAUCCUCGAGAGGGUGGGUACCCUUGAUGCUGUAAGAACCUGCAUCCUUUCGAAGAAAAUGCAGAAGCUGCCCACUAUGCUCUCGCAGAUCGUAAUUGAUCUUAGCCCUCGUGAUUUGGUUCAAAUGGAUGGUGUUGUGGCUGACGUGACGGACAAGAUCCUUAGUACGAGGUCUCCACAGAUCACCGUUCGCAAGCUGAAGCUCAAAUUUUUCUUGGUUCCCUCUCGCUGUCUCUCCAUCGGAAAAUCGGUCGGCCUUGCCAUGGCGACCCAGAAGUUGGAUGCAGCUGAGUUUGAGAUCAUGCCACUGAGGGAUAAUGGAUGUUGCACUGAUGCCCAUCGCCUGCUCUUUGCUCAGCAGUUCAAUGAUUUUGUUCGUGAUUGCCCGGAUGCAUUUGCUGGUCUCACGCGGCUGGAUCUACGGUUUUUGAGGUUUGGAGAAUCGGACAUACCCAACAUUCUUAGCACCUGCAAGCAGCUCGAGUCCCUUUCUUUCUUCGAGUGUGACGGGGGGUUCGCUCGGUGCUGCAUGUAG